RNAcentral lists this ribosomal RNA (404 nucleotides) under Fusobacteriota bacterium. Its description in RNAcentral is "Fusobacteria bacterium partial 16S ribosomal RNA". It matches the Rfam family "Bacterial small subunit ribosomal RNA", at positions 355 to 776 of the family's 1533-position model. The record is from RNAcentral. Lineage: Bacteria; Fusobacteriati; Fusobacteriota.
UGGGGAAUAUUGCACAAUGGAGGGAACUCUGAUGCAGCGACGCCGCGUGAGUGAUGAAGGAAUUCGUUCCGUAAAACUCUGUUCUAUGGGAAGAAAAGGACUGUACCAUAGGAGAAAGCUCCGGCUAAAUACGUGCCAGCAGCCGCGGUAAUACGUAUGGAGCGAGCGUUGUCCGGAAUUAUUGGGCGUAAAGGGUGCGCAGGCGGCUUUACAAGUUGGAUGUGAAAUAUUGUGGCUCAACCACAAACGUGCAUCCAAAACUGCAAAGCUUGAGUUAAGGAGAGGUAAGUGGAAUUCCUGGUGUAGCGGUGGAAUGCGUAGAUAUCAGGAGGAAUACCGGUGGCGAAGGCGACUUACUGGACUUAAACUGACGCUCAGGCACGAAAGCGUGGGGAGCAAACAGG